RNAcentral lists this small RNA (431 nucleotides) under Vigna angularis var. angularis. RNAcentral's name for it is "Non-protein coding transcript". The record is from RNAcentral. Lineage: Eukaryota; Viridiplantae; Streptophyta; Magnoliopsida; Fabales; Fabaceae.
UGCAAACCCUGAGAGAUUGAAGCUGCUGCAUCAAACUUUCCACCCCUGCCGCCGCCGUCAGUGCAGGUCGCUUCCACCACUGCCAGCUUCUCCGUCUUUGACUACUCUCCCUCUUUUCAAGUGCAGAAUGGUGUCGAAUCAGACUACCAUGGAAAUUGAGACUGGGGCAUCUGAAGCCAAAGUAUUGCCACCGAAGCCAAAGUUUGAGGCGUUGAAGCCUCAUGAGAUGUCUGAUGGACAGAUUCAGUUCCGGAAGGUGAAUGUUCCACCUCAUCGUUAUACCCCUCUCAAGAAAGCUUGGAUGGAUAUCUAUACUCCCAUUUUUGAACAGAUGAAAAUUGAUGUGCGCAUGAAUUUGAAGGCUCGUAGAGUUGAGCUGAAGACAAGGGCCGACACACCUGAUAUUAGUAACCUGCAAAAAUGUGCUGAUU